RNAcentral lists this ribosomal RNA (379 nucleotides) under uncultured bacterium. RNAcentral's name for it is "bacterial SSU rRNA". It matches the Rfam family "Bacterial small subunit ribosomal RNA", at positions 29 to 426 of the family's 1533-position model. The record is from RNAcentral.
AGCGAACGCUAGCGGCGGGCCUAACACAUGCAAGUCGAGCGGAGGGCAACCCUCAGCGGCGAACGGGUGAGUAACACGUAGGUAAUGUACCCUCUGGUGGGGAAUAACCGUGGGAAACCAUGGCUAAUACCGCAUAUGUCUUUCGAGAUGAAAGACAGCAAUGCGCCAGAGGAGCAGCCUGCGGCCGAUUAUUUAGUCCUAGUUGGUGAGGUAAUGGCUCACCAAGGGUGCGAUCGGUAGCUGGUCUGAGAGGAUGAUCAGCCACACUGGAACUGAGACACGGUCCAGACUCCUACGGGAGGCAGCAGUGGGGGAAUAUUGCGCAAUGGGCGAAAGCCUGACGCAGCCACGCCGCGUGAGUGAUGAAGGCCUCGGUUGG